This 463-nucleotide ribosomal RNA is filed under the name uncultured bacterium. RNAcentral's name for it is "partial 16S ribosomal RNA". It matches the Rfam family "Bacterial small subunit ribosomal RNA", at positions 28 to 507 of the family's 1533-position model. The record is from RNAcentral.
GAUGAACGCUGACAGAAUGCUUAACACAUGCAAGUCGAUGGGGAAGUGGUGCUUGCACCCUGGUAACCAUGGCGGACGGGUGAGUAACGCGUAAGGAACUUACCUGCGGGACCGGGAUAACAGCAGGAAACUGCUGACAAGACCGGAUAAGGUCAUUAAGCUGCAUAGCUUAGUGAUGAAAGGAGACGCCUGCGGAGAGCCUUGCGUCCUAUUAGCUAGUUGGAGGGGUAACGGCCCACCAAGGCGAAGAUAGGUAGCCGGCCUGAGAGGGUGGACGGCCACAAGGGGACUGAGAUACGGCCCUUACUCCUACGGGAGGCAGCAGUGGGGAAUAGUGGACAAUGGGGGCAACCCUGAUCCAGCAAUUCUGUGUGCACGAAGACGGUUUUCGGAGUGUAAAGUGCUUUCAGCAGGGAAGAAGGAAGUGACGGUACCUGCAGAAGAAGCGACGGCUAAAUACGUG